UACGAAGGGGGCUAGCGUUGUUCGGAAUCACUGGGCGUAAAGGGCGCGUAGGCGGCUUUGUCAGUCGGGGGUGAAAGCCUGUGGCUCAACCACAGAAUUGCCUUCGAUACUGCAAGGCUUGAGACCGGAAGAGGUAAGUGGAACUGCGAGUGUAGAGGUGAAAUUCGUAGAUAUUCGCAAGAACACCAGUGGCGAAGGCGGCUUACUGGUCCGGUUCUGACGCUGAGGCGCGAAAGCGUGGGGAGCAAACAGG
This 253-nucleotide ribosomal RNA is filed under the name uncultured bacterium. RNAcentral's name for it is "partial 16S ribosomal RNA". It matches the Rfam family "Bacterial small subunit ribosomal RNA", at positions 524 to 776 of the family's 1533-position model. The record is from RNAcentral.